RNAcentral lists this ribosomal RNA (396 nucleotides) under uncultured bacterium. RNAcentral's name for it is "partial 16S ribosomal RNA". It matches the Rfam family "Bacterial small subunit ribosomal RNA", at positions 360 to 773 of the family's 1533-position model. The record is from RNAcentral.
AAUAUUGCGCAAUGGGGGGAACCCUGACGCAGCAACGCCGCGUGAGCGAUGAAGGCCUUCGGGUCGUAAAGCUCUGUCUUAAGGGAUGAUGAUGACAGUACCUUAAGAGGAAGCCCCGGCUAACUACGUGCCAGCAGCCGCGGUAAUACGUAGGGGGCGAGCGUUGUCCGGAAUUACUGGGUGUAAAGGGCCCGUAGGCGGUUAUUUAAGUCAGCUGUGAAAGUCCAGGGCUUAACCCUGGAAUUGCAAUUGAAACUGAAUAACUUGAGAUAAGGAGAGGAGAGCGGAAUUCCUAGUGUAGCGGUGAAAUGCGUAGAUAUUAGGAAGAACACCAGUGGCGAAGGCGGCUCUCUGGCCUUACCCUGACGCUGAGGGGCGAAAGCGUGGGUAGCGAAC